GGCUGGUCUGAUGGUAGUGUAUUAUCAGAACUUAUUAACAUUGGUGUCACUAAAGUUAAUAUACAACCCCCAACUGCUAAAUUUGACUGGCUUAAA
Molecule: Y RNA, 96 nt
Filed under: Cercocebus atys (sooty mangabey)
Lineage: Eukaryota; Metazoa; Chordata; Mammalia; Primates; Cercopithecidae
Also listed under: 3 other names
Description: Y RNA (ENSCATG00000018189.1)
Rfam family: Y RNA
About the family: Y RNAs are components of the Ro ribonucleoprotein particle (Ro RNP), in association with Ro60 and La proteins. The Y RNAs and Ro60 and La proteins are well conserved, but the function of the Ro RNP is not known.
Source: Rfam by way of RNAcentral